CUCAACAAUCUCAGAGAGAGUUUGUAUGGAAACCGCUUAUGCUUAUUCUCUGCUUAUUCUCUGCUGCUUGGUAUAACCAGAACUCGGAGAAUAAGCAUAAAAUGAACCGGCACUCAGUGACGUCAUGGAUUGGAUCGAAUCCUGUCCGGAGAAUGAUUGUUCCAAAUCGCUCAAGCCAUCACCACACCCGCUGUCAAAAUUAAAUUAAAACGAAACUCUUUUGUUUACUUUUUAUUCAAAGAUAGCCGCGUCGCCUUUCGUACGCUUAUAAAACCCAGUUUUUGUGUAGAUUUCUGUGUACAAGCUUGAUUUCCUUGCUACCUAUCCGUGUUACCUCUGUGAUUGUGGGUGGUUGUUGUGUGCAAUUCGAUCGGGAGUUGCUAAUUGUUGUUCACCUGUAAAACCUGUUACCAUGAGCGGUUCGAAUGUGGGAGCUACUAGCUGUGGAGCACACCCUAAAAUGAAACAAUCAUCGAAAUUAAACACAAGCACACCUUACCUCAGCGUCGGCAUCGUGC
Anopheles coluzzii is the source of this 518-nucleotide long non-coding RNA. RefSeq lists it as uncharacterized. The record is from RefSeq and is a predicted model, not a curated record. NCBI's taxonomy places the organism in Eukaryota, Metazoa, Arthropoda, Insecta, Diptera, Culicidae. The transcript has 3 exons.